UCCCAGGUGGCUUGGAUGGUAAAGAAUCUGCCUGUAAUGCAGAAGACCAGGGUUCGAUCCCUGGGUUGGGAA
Bos taurus (domestic cattle) is the source of this 72-nucleotide non-coding RNA. The record is from Rfam. Lineage: Eukaryota; Metazoa; Chordata; Mammalia; Artiodactyla; Bovidae.